UUUGAAAAGGAUAGAAGUGCAAAAUUGAAUUCCUUCUAUGCUGACCUAAAAGUUUGCCUAUACAUGCACUAUUUCUUCAAUAGCAAGUCAGAUUUUUCAGAGAUUAAUAAUCCUAAAAAGGAAAAACGGGUGAGUAUUUGAAAGAUUUUGAGAGAAUACUAAAAAUUCCUGCGUUUUUCUUGGUACAAAUUGGUCAAAUUCUUCCCUAAACUGAUUAGAUAAUCAGAGUUUUGAGACUCAAAAACUGGUUGCUCGUCUGCGGUAUUUACUAGGGUCGAAGAUACUGAAUUUGUUUGGAUUGCUAGUUCUAUAAAAGCUGGUUCUGUUGUUGUUAUCUACUGAUUCUUCACUUCUUUUGUUUCCUUUUUUUCCAAGUAUUUCUCACCUCUUUGACAUGUGAAAUGGAGGAACAUGAUGUUAUUUGCUUGAGUUUGAAACAUAGAGCAUAUCAGUUAUUGCUAUAGUAUCGACUUCCAUUUGAAUUUGUUAAAAAUUCCAAGUACUGAUUUGUUUACUCAUAGUUUGAAACAUAGCCCUACCUUUCUAGGAUUUGGUAUUUAGCUUGCCCUUGCUCACAUGUGAGAGCCUUGAAUCCAAAUGGUUUCCCAAACAGACUCUGGAUCUGAAAUCAGACCUGAAGAUUUUUGACAUUUAGUGUAACUCUUUCAUUUGGUUUCCUUUAGAAAGUUUUGGCUCAUAUAGCCUUGUUUAUAUGUGCUAGUCUGAAAUCAGAAUUUAGCAUAUGCUUACAUCUUUGAAUUAUUAUAAUACUAAAUGAGGAACAACUUGUGUAAGGUCUUUGUUAUCGCAUUGAGAAUCAUAUUUUAAAUAUAGAAUGUAUGUGGUAUUCAAAUAUGCUUCACUUGUGAUUAAGUUUGUCCUUAAUCAAAGAUUUUUAUGUAAUUUAUGGUAUCCUCCCAAACGUUAGUGCUGAAACUUUAAACUGGGUUGUCAGCAUUAGCCCAGUC
Molecule: long non-coding RNA, 968 nt
Filed under: Nicotiana benthamiana
Lineage: Eukaryota; Viridiplantae; Streptophyta; Magnoliopsida; Solanales; Solanaceae
Description: long non-coding RNA (NBEN_LNC023641)
Source: RNAcentral